UACGGGGGGAGCAAGCGUUGUUCGGAUUUACUGGGCGUAAAGGGCGCGUAGGCGGUCAGCACAAGUCAGUUGUGAAAUCCCCGGGCUCAACCCGGGAACUGCGUCCGAUACUGGCAGGCUUGAAUUCGGGAGAGGGAUGUGGAAUUCCAGGUGUAGCGGUGAAAUGCGUAGAUAUCUGGAGGAACACCGGUGGCGAAGGCGGCAUCCUGGACCGAUAUUGACGCUGAUGCGCGAAAGCCAGGGGAGCAAACGGG
Molecule: ribosomal RNA, 254 nt
Filed under: uncultured bacterium
Lineage: Bacteria
Description: partial 16S ribosomal RNA
Rfam family: Bacterial small subunit ribosomal RNA
Source: RNAcentral